UGGCUCAGAACGAACGCUGGCGGCGUGCUUAAUACAUGCAAGUCGCGCGAGAAAGUUUGGCUUCGGCCGAGCGAGUAAAGCGGCGAACGGGUGAGUAACGCGUGGAUAAUCUGCCCUUAAAUCUGGGAUAAUUCUCCGAAAGGGGUUGUAAUACCGGAUAAUAUUUCGGAGUGGCAUCGCUCUGAAAUCAAAGGCGGGGUAACCUGUCGUUUAGGGAUGAAUCCGCGCUCCAUUAGCUUGUUGGUAGGGUAAAGGCCUACCAAGGCUGCGAUGGAUAGCCGGCCUGAGAGGGUGAUCGGCCACACUGGGACUGAGAUACGGCCCAGACUCCUACGGGAGGCAGCAGUAGGGAAUAUUGCGCAAUGGACGCAAGUCUGACGCAGCAACGCCGCGUGGGUGAUGAAGCAUCUUGGUGUGUAAAACCCUGUCAGUGGGGAAGAAACUCGCAGGUAGUAACUGACCUGUGCCUGACGGUACCCACAGAGGAAGUCCCGGCUAACUCCGUGCCAGCAGCCGCGGUAAUACGGGGGGGACAAGCGUUGUUCGGAUUUACUGGGCGUAAAGGGCGCGUAGGCGGACCUUCAAGUCGGAUGUGAAAACUGGCAGCUUAACUGCCAGCCUGCACCCGAUACUGUUGGUCUUGAGUACGGGAGAGGAGAGUGGAAUUCCAGGUGUAGCGGUGAAAUGCGUAGAUAUCUGGAAGAACACCAGUAGCGAAGGCGGCUCUCUGGACCGAUACUGACGCUAAAGCGCGAAGGCUUGGGGAGCAAACAGG
RNAcentral lists this ribosomal RNA (775 nucleotides) under uncultured Pseudomonadota bacterium. Its description in RNAcentral is "bacterial SSU rRNA". It matches the Rfam family "Bacterial small subunit ribosomal RNA", at positions 20 to 776 of the family's 1533-position model. The record is from RNAcentral. Lineage: Bacteria; Pseudomonadati; Pseudomonadota.